UCCCUUGUGGCUCAGAAGGUAAAGCAUCUGCCUGCAAUGCAGUAGACCCAGGUUCAAUCCCUGGGUCAGGAA
Transfer RNA from Ovis aries (sheep), 72 nucleotides. It matches the Rfam family "tRNA". From Rfam's summary of the family: Transfer RNA (tRNA) molecules are approximately 80 nucleotides in length. NCBI's taxonomy places the organism in Eukaryota, Metazoa, Chordata, Mammalia, Artiodactyla, Bovidae. The record is from Rfam.